CACGGGGGGAGCAAGCGUUGUUCGGAAUCACUGGGCGUAAAGGGCGUGUAGGCGGUCAAGUAAGUGGAAUGUGAAACGCCUCGGCUUACCCGAGGACCUGCAUCCCAAACUGCUUGGCUUGAGUAUGGGAGAGGAUGAGGGAAUUCCUGGUGUAGCGGUGGAAUGCGCAGAUAUCAGGAGGAACACCGGUGGCGAAGGCGGGUCUCUGGGCAGUAACUGACGCUGAGAAGCGAAAGCGUGGGGAGCGAACAGG
This 253-nucleotide ribosomal RNA is filed under the name uncultured bacterium. RNAcentral's name for it is "partial 16S ribosomal RNA". It matches the Rfam family "Bacterial small subunit ribosomal RNA", at positions 524 to 776 of the family's 1533-position model. The record is from RNAcentral.